AUUGAACGCUGGCGGCAGGCCUAACACAUGCAAGUCGAGCGGAUGAAGGGAGCUUGCUCCUGGAUUCAGCGGCGGACGGGUGAGUAAUGCCUAGGAAUCUGCCUGGUAGUGGGGGAUAACGUCCGGAAACGGGCGCUAAUACCGCAUACGUCCUGAGGGAGAAAGUGGGUGAUCUUCGGACCUCACGCUAUCAGAUGAGCCUAGGUCGGAUUAGCUAGUUGGUGGGGUAAAGGCCUACCAAGGCGACGAUCCGUAACUGGUCUGAGAGGAUGAUCAGUCACACUGGAACUGAGACACGGUCCAGACUCCUACGGGAGGCAGCAGUGGGGAAUAUUGGACAGUGGGCGAAAGCCUGAUCCAGCCAUGCCGAGUGUGUGAAGAAGGUCUUCGGAUUGUAAAGCACUUUAAGUUGGGAGGAAGGGCAGUAAGUUAAUACCUUGCUGUUUUGACGUUACCAACAGAAUAAGCACCGGCUAACUUCGUG
This 484-nucleotide ribosomal RNA is filed under the name uncultured bacterium. RNAcentral describes it as "partial 16S ribosomal RNA". It matches the Rfam family "Bacterial small subunit ribosomal RNA", at positions 30 to 507 of the family's 1533-position model. The record is from RNAcentral.